CUACGUAGGGUGCGAGCGUUAAUCGGAAUUACUGGGCGUAAAGCGUGCGCAGGCGGUUAUAUAAGACAGAUGUGAAAUCCCCGGGCUCAACCUGGGACCUGCAUAUGUGACUGUAUAGCUAGAGUACGGUAGAGGGGGAUGGAAUUCCGCGUGUAGCAGUGAAAUGCGUAGAUAUGCGGAGGAACACCGAUGGCGAAGGCAAUCCCCUGGACCUGUACUGACGCUCAUGCACGAAAGCGUGGGGAGCAAACAGGAUUAGAUACCCUGGUAGUCCACGCCCUAAACGAUGUCAACUGGUUGUUGGGUCUUCACUGACUCAGUAACGAAGCUAACGCGUGAAGUUGACCGCCUGGGGAGUACGGCCGCAAGGUUGAAACUCAAAUGAAUUGACGGGG
RNAcentral lists this ribosomal RNA (395 nucleotides) under uncultured bacterium. RNAcentral describes it as "partial 16S ribosomal RNA". It matches the Rfam family "Bacterial small subunit ribosomal RNA", at positions 523 to 918 of the family's 1533-position model. The record is from RNAcentral.